GUUUUCUUACGUAUCCUUCCGCCGUGCAUAGUAACGCCGUUGCUAAGGGCGCAGUUUUUCGCGCCACCAGCGGGAUGAAAUAUCAUCCGAGUUGACAGCUGAUUGCAUCACGAUGUACGGCCUUUCGGCGAAAAUGGCGAAAGAGUUCUACCCAAGAUCAGCUGAGGAUGUGCUUCUUGCAGCUCACAGUGUCUGUAACUUUCAUUAGGUGAUGCUCUGCUGUGGAUCUGAUGAGGCUGACAGCUGUGUUUACUUAGCCAUAUCAUUUGGCUGAUUGGCAUUACUAUGUAUCAUUUAUAUCUAUACCAUACUGUACAGAAUAUCAUUUCACAAAAGGCCACAGCAAGUUAAUCUUAUGGAUGACAUGCCAAAUGAAAAAAUACUGUAAAUGAGAUAGUAAUACAAUGAAAAAAACAGAUGGCUAAAUUUUCAAAAUAGACACCAUAAACAUUGUAACACGAUUUGAAGUGACAAAACGUGGUAUCACAACUAACAAGGCAUUCAUUCCUGUAUUAAAGAAGUGAACUAGUAUAGUUUAAGUGAUACUGGUGUGGUACACUAGUAUCACUUGCCAAGCAUGGCAACUAGCAUAUGAUUCAUCGCUUCCAUAUUGGUUUUAGUUUUACAACUAUCCAACAAGUUUCACUUCUGCAACUAUAGUCACCUCUCUCGUGUUACCUCUACAAGUAUAAUCAUUAGGCUUUAGUACAACACAGUAUGUUUGCCCAUUUUGGUCUAUCUGACCAUCCCAAAAGAGGAAAAAAAAUUCUUGUUUUUUUUUUUCUGAAAUCAGGCAAAAACUAAUGGGGGCGAUGAUGUCAUCCAUAAAAUUCACUUACUUGGCCUUAUUGGAAUAACAUGUAUAUUAUCUGGCAAAAUGGUCAGCUGUGUGGCAGCAGAUUCCAUAGAUAUUGUUUGAUUACAACACAAAUCUUGUCUCCAACUUGCCAUUCAUAUGUAACACGUUAGACAUAUUUGUUCAAUAAAGUGUGGCUUACAUUUGA
This is a long non-coding RNA of Branchiostoma floridae (Florida lancelet), 1004 nucleotides long. RefSeq lists it as uncharacterized. The transcript has 3 exons. Lineage: Eukaryota; Metazoa; Chordata; Leptocardii; Amphioxiformes; Branchiostomatidae. The record is from RefSeq and is a predicted model, not a curated record.